CGUAGGGUGCGAGCGUUGUCCGGAAUUACUGGGCGUAAAGAGCUCGUAGGUGGUUUGUCGCGUUGUUCGUGAAAACUCACAGCUUAACUGUGGGCGUGCGGGCGAUACGGGCAGACUGGAGUACUGCAGGGGAGACUGGAAUUCCUGGUGUAGCGGUGGAAUGCGCAGAUAUCAGGAGGAACACCGGUGGCGAAGGCGGGUCUCUGGGCAGUAACUGACGCUGAGGAGCGAAAGCGUGGGGAGUGAACAGG
Molecule: ribosomal RNA, 251 nt
Filed under: uncultured bacterium
Lineage: Bacteria
Description: partial 16S ribosomal RNA
Rfam family: Bacterial small subunit ribosomal RNA
Source: RNAcentral